UAGUGGCGGACGGGUGAGUAACGCGUGAGGAACCUGCCUUGGAGUGGGGAAUAACAGCCCGAAAGGGUUGCUAAUACCGCAUGAUGCAGCUGGGUCGCAUGGCCCUGGCUGCCAAAGAUUUAUCGCUCUGAGAUGGCCUCGCGUCUGAUUAGCUAGUAGGCGGGGUAACGGCCCACCUAGGCGACGAUCAGUAGCCGGACUGAGAGGUUGGCC
RNAcentral lists this ribosomal RNA (213 nucleotides) under Skeletonema costatum. RNAcentral's name for it is "partial Bacterial small subunit ribosomal RNA". It matches the Rfam family "Bacterial small subunit ribosomal RNA", at positions 93 to 305 of the family's 1533-position model. The record is from RNAcentral. Lineage: Eukaryota; Bacillariophyta; Thalassiosirophyceae; Thalassiosirales; Thalassiosiraceae.